RNAcentral lists this unclassified non-coding RNA (4681 nucleotides) under Hevea brasiliensis (rubber tree). The record is from RNAcentral. Lineage: Eukaryota; Viridiplantae; Streptophyta; Magnoliopsida; Malpighiales; Euphorbiaceae.
GUUCAUAGGAAAAUGUAUUUAUUGUAGUAUAUCCAUUUCAAAAUCUACCGCCGGCGAAUUCUUCAUCUAAUACGUCCAUUCAAUACGUCCAUUCGCCACGUGGAACUUCCGGCCCAAAACCCGAAAAAAUUCUGGACCCCACAUCCACCCAGUGACCUAUCCUUCUAUAAACCCGCUCUCACUGCCUCCGUCUACUUCUCUCCCCAGAAACGAUCGCGUUAGCCGUCGUUUCCUCUGCGAAUUUAAUUUAUUUAAUUUAUUCUAUUUUAAUUUAAUUUCAACAGUCAUCUCUGGCUCUGCUCUAUUUCCGUUGCUUCGACCUCUCUUAAUAUUCCCGACGAUAUGCAUUUCUGAUCAUCCGAUCUCCCUCGUGAUUCGCGUCGACUUUUAUCUUACCCGCCAGGUCCCUUUUUUUUCUUUUUCUUAAAUUUUGUUUAUUUUUAGUUCUAUUGAUUUUGAGUUGAAUUCGGGUUUUUCAUGAGAAAUGUGGUGUUUUUAUAGGGUGCAUUGUUGUUGUUGAGGCGCAAUUGAGUGUUUGUUCGAGUGGAAUUGAACGGAUAGACAGAGAGAAGUAGUUUGGUGCCUCCAAUUGCGUGCUGAAGCCGGGGAGAUGUCGGGCCCACUGGAUCGCUUCGCGAGACCUUGCUUUGAGGGAUUCUCAGGAAGUGAUGAAAGAAGAGAGAGAAAAUCUGAUUUUGAAAACUCUGAGGAUGAGAGGCGAACUAGAAUUGGAUCAUUGAAAAAGAAAGCAAUUAAUGCAUCCACUAAAUUCAGGCAUUCUCUGAAGAAAAAGAGCAGUAGAAGAAAGAGUGAUGGUAGAGUCAGUUCUGUUUCGAUUGAGGAUGUUCGGGAUGCUGGAGAACUGCAGGCUGUUGAUGAAUUUCGUCAGGCAUUGAUCAUGGACGAAUUACUACCAGAAAGACAUGAUGAUUAUCAUAUGUUGUUGAGGUUCUUGAAAGCAAGGAAGUUUGACAUUGAAAAAGCAAAACACAUGUGGGCCGACAUGCUUCAAUGGAGGAAGGAAUUUGGUGCUGAUACUAUUAUGGAGGAUUUUGAAUUUAAAGAGUUAAAUGAAGUUUUGAUGUAUUACCCCCAUGGUAAUCAUGGUGUGGAUAAAGAAGGGAGACCUGUUUACAUCGAAAGAUUGGGAAAAGUUGAUCCUCAUAAGCUUAUGCAAGUUACAACUAUGGAUCGUUAUGUAAAAUACCACGUGCGGGAGUUUGAGAAAAGCUUUGCAAUAAAAUUUCCUGCUUGUACCAUUGCUGCAAAGAGACAUAUAGAUUCAAGCACAACCAUUUUAGAUGUUCAUGGCGUGGGUCUUAAGAACUUCACCAAGAAUGCACGGGAUCUAAUUAUGCGACUGCAAAAGAUUGAUGGUGACAAUUACCCUGAGACACUCCACCAAAUGUUCAUCAUCAAUGCUGGUCCUGGAUUUAGACUGCUAUGGAACACUGUGAAGACUUUUCUAGAUCCUAAAACCACCUCCAAGAUUCACGUUCUUGGAAACAAAUAUCACAGUAAAUUGCUUGAGAUGAUUGAUGCCAGUGAGUUGCCAGAAUUUCUUGGUGGUACCUGUACCUGUGCAGAUCAGGGAGGUUGCCUUCGGUCAGAUAAGGGACCAUGGAAAAACCCAGAAAUAUUGAAGAUGGUUCUUAAUGGUGAAGCACGGCGUGCCCACCAGGUUGUAAAAGUUUUAAACAGUGAGGGGAAGGUUAUUGCAUAUGCUAAGCCACGUUACCCUGUGCAUGUCAGAGGUAGUGAUACAUCCACUGCUGAGUCAGGAUCUGAAGCUGAAGAUAUUGCUUCCCCCAAAGCACUGAAGAGUUAUUCACAUCUUCGACUGACUCCUGUUCGCGAAGAAGGUAAGGUGGUUGGAAAGGCAAGCUAUGCUGGUAACUUCUCAGGGUAUGAUGAAUAUGUUCCUAUGGUUGACAAAGCUGUUGAUGCUGGUUGGAAACAGCAAGCAUCCAUUCAGAGGCCUUCUGUUUCCAAAGCAACACUUGCUCUGCCUGAAACUCCGAAGAGUCCAGAAGGAAUUCACGUUAGAAUAUUUGUAGCAGUUAUGGCUUUCUUCGUCACACUUUUCACUCUUCUACGAACUUUGGUGUUCCGUGUAACUAAGAGGCUUCCCAAUGCUUCAUCUGAUGAUCAAAGUUCUCCUGAAGUUUUCUUGGAGGCAACACAGGAAGAGUUCCGUCCCCCUUCACCAACUCCAGCUUUUACUGAGGCAGAUCUCCUCUCUUCUGUACUGAAAAGGCUAGGUGAGCUAGAGGAGAAAGUGGAUACACUUAGAGCAAAGCCAACAGAAAUGCCUUAUGAGAAAGAGGAAUUACUGAAUGCCGCUGUUUGUCGUGUGGAUGCCCUAGAAGCAGAGCUAAUUGCUACCAAAAAGGUAUAAUUGCUCGAUUACAGAAUAUCAUGUGUGAUCACCUUGUUAUGGCUCUUUCACUCUUAAGUGGUGAUCAUAAUGUGCAAGCCCAUAUGUAUCAGCUGUCAUUUAAGUUUUUAUGUAAAGUAUUGGAUUUUUUUUUGGAAGUUUUCAUACUAAUUACAAAUUAUGUCUGCCUCAUGAUGAAUCUAGUGACUGUUUAGGAACCUGGUGACAAAUCUUGUUUCAUUAUGUUUAAUCAGUACCUUGGCUUUGUUAGGUUCCAAGUGAUUUGUUUGAAAAGCAACAAUGCUUACAUUUUCACCUGCUGGUAAACACUUCACUGUGAUCUUAUCACUUAUCAUAAGUGACUAACGUUUAAAAUGCCAGGAAAAUCUGUUUUGAAACCAAUGUUAUACAAUGAAGGGAACUGCUAUUGGCUUAAUAUUCUAGCUGUCUGAUUUCUAGGAAUAUAAAAAGGAUUUAUGGUUAAAUUUCCCAUAUCUUAUUCCUUCAUUGAUGGGCAUUUUUGCGCCUUUUUCAUGUUUGAUGUUGCAGUUGUGUUUUGUAUCUUUUGCACGGUAUUGGGGCAACUUUUCCUUUUUUGCAUUAUUUUCUGUAUUUAAGUUACUGGAUCAAGGGGAGCAUCAAUAUUUACUCCAUUUUCUAAAAGAGGCAUAUGUUGUUGAUCAUUUGUACUUCCUGAGCAGGCUUUACAUGAAGCUUUAAUGAAGCUAGAAGAUUUGCUCGUGUACGUAGACAGUCAAGAAGAAGCCAAGUACCGGAAAAAGAAGUUUUGCUGGUAAGAUGUUUUGCCUAUGGAGGGAGACUUUGGUGACUUUCUGGCUGGCACAAAAAUUUGUCUUUUCUGUACGAAGUGUUUUAACAUACAAGCACAGAUGUUGGUCGUGCUGAGGACACUUUCUAAUUGAUGUGAGUUUCUGUUGAUUACGAAGGAAAAGACUUUGUUAUAAGGAAAUUAUUGUAUGACCGCCAUUGUUCUUAAAUCAUGUGUGCGUGGUUUGGUUUUCCAAAUUUAGUGGUUUUUCCUUAUAUUUUCUAAUAUGAAUGGACUUGAUAAUUGUCAAGGGCUUUCGCAUAUUGAUAGCUUUUGCAUGUCAUCAUCUAGGUGCUUAGUUUUGGUACAAUGGUUUUUCAGCAGCUGCCCAAUUCAAUCGCUCGAGUCCCUGUUACUAAAUAGACGGUUGUGUUUGUUUUACAAUUGUAGAAUUUGAACUUGCUGAAGGUGAUCAUGUUAUCUACAAGCAUCCUGAUUCAUUUCUACAAUUCUACUAAAGAUUUUGGAAGAAAAUAUUCUAUUUUGUUAGUUCCUUUCGAUAAUUGUGCGAGACAGCGAUGACAUAUAGUCUAGCAAGACAAGCAUGCUCUGGAAGAACUUUGAAGUGGGGAAAUUAGGCCUGCUCUGAAUGAAAGUAUGGUGUUUGAUUUCGAGUCUCUAGGAUUAUUGUUGGACUGCUAAUGGUGUGAUCCACCAAAACAAAGCCGAAAUGAAAUAAUGAGUCUUUAAAGUGGUGUGAGUUGUACAAUUAUGCAAAGGAAAGCAAAAAAAUUACCAUGUGUAUAAUGUACAAAGGUUUGAGUCGAGUGUUAUACAAAGCAGAAAAUGAUUUUGCGUAACAACCAACAUAAGGCAAUGAAGUUUAUAUUAAUCGCCAUAUGUGUCUGACUGUAAGUUCUCAAAUUAUUUUUUGGAGCGCAGCAGAAAAAAUCAGAACUUUUCACCCUCACUAAGCGUUAUGGAUUCUUCAGUCAAAAUCCGAAAAACUGAAAUAUGAAAGAACUUGAUUAGGAUUGUCAUGUAUAGCAAUUAUAAAGAACAUCUGAGAUAUGUCAACGUUUGCAUACCUUCUUCUUCUUCUUCUUUUUCUUUCCUCUCUUUCUUUUCCUCUUCUUCUAUUUUGUUCUUCCUUCACAUGGUAGUAUCAUUGUUUUGCCCUUCUUUCUUUUUUCUUUUUUACUUAUUUUCUUCUUUUUCUCUCCUUUCUCUCUGUUCUCCAAUUCUUCAGACCUGCUGUUUGGGUAUUCUUCUAUUCUGUUCAAUUUUUUUUAUCUUAAUUAAUUUAUUAGAUAUGUUUCUUAUUAAUUUGUGUUUAAUUUACAUGGGUAUUGUGAUAUGCAUUUUGCUAGAUGAGUAUUGCAAAUUUGUGAUAUGAUUUAUGUUUAGGCUAAUAUCAUAACAAUUUUAUUUUAAUUCCCCCUAAUUGAUUAGGCUAAAUGAAAAUUCGAAGCUCUCUUGCUCACCUCACUUCAAAAAGGCUCUCGCCUUUUGCCUAAGGCCAUAGGGUAUCCUGU